UUGGUAUGUUUUCGGUGGUUGGCUCCCUUGCUUGUGCAUAACUUCCACCAGACAUGCGUAUUUGUUCGUCCGUUAAGGCUGUGAACGCCUGAACAUAUUGCGGGUUUCUUGUGUUGCCUGCCUAAACAAACGGUAUUUGAUUUGGCUUAUCAAAGUUACGUACGUCUUUCGUCAUGCCUGUGACGUUAGAUGGACCCUAAACAUGUCUCUUUGAACCACAUCAUUAAUGCGUUGUCUUGAUGUAGUGGUGCACUGAGCCUUGUUUGGUCUCUUCGAUGUAGUGCUUUAUGUGGGCAGGGGUCUGCUAGGAUCCUUGUUAUGUCCUUGGCUAGUGUUUACGCUCUGUAAAAUGACUGCUUGAUACGUAAAAGCGUGUUAGGCUUCGUCUAAAAGGAAUGUUACCUGGU
Molecule: unclassified non-coding RNA, 407 nt
Filed under: Teixeiranthus foliosus
Lineage: Eukaryota; Viridiplantae; Streptophyta; Magnoliopsida; Asterales; Asteraceae
Description: partial contains external transcribed spacer and 18S ribosomal RNA
Source: RNAcentral